GCUCUAUUAGCUCGAAAUUCCAGGAAUUAAACUAUAAAGUGCUAACAAGCUGGUAUAGAACGCCCGACACACUGCACCGCAUGCACGAUACCACGUCAGACACAUGCUGGCGAUGUGGCACACAACCCGGCACCUAUAUCCACAUAUGGUGGUCAUGCCCGGUAAUUACCCCUUUCUGGGAACAAAUUAGAGGAGAAAUCAACAAAAUCACAGGCGCAGAUAUACCCCUGGCACCCUUAACGAUGCUACUGCACCA
Molecule: non-coding RNA, 256 nt
Organism: Pelobates cultripes (western spadefoot toad)
Lineage: Eukaryota; Metazoa; Chordata; Amphibia; Anura; Pelobatidae
Source: the annotation of a GenBank genome assembly